GACGAACGCUGGCGGCGUGCUUAACACAUGCAAGUCGAGCGGGUAACGGUCCCGUUUCGGGGUACGACGAGCGGCGGAACGGGUAGAGUAACACGGUGGGUGACCUCGCCCUCAGCUCCGGGGAUAAGCCUGGGAAACCGGGGUCUAAUACGUGGAUAUCGACCCCAUGACGCAUGUUGUGGGGUGGAAAGCCCUGUGCGGCUGAGGAUGGGCCCGCGGCCUAUCAGCUUGUUGGUGGGGUGAUGGCCUACCAAGGCGACGACGGGUAGCCGGCCUGAGAGGGCGACCGGCCACACUGGGACUGAGACACGGCCCAGACUCCUACGGGAGGCAGCAGUGGGGAAUCUUGCGCAAUGGGCGAAAGCCUGACGCAGCGACGCCGCGUGAGGGAUGACGGCCU
RNAcentral lists this ribosomal RNA (400 nucleotides) under uncultured bacterium. RNAcentral describes it as "bacterial SSU rRNA". It matches the Rfam family "Bacterial small subunit ribosomal RNA", at positions 28 to 417 of the family's 1533-position model. The record is from RNAcentral.